This 384-nucleotide ribosomal RNA is filed under the name uncultured Bacteroidales bacterium. RNAcentral's name for it is "bacterial SSU rRNA". It matches the Rfam family "Bacterial small subunit ribosomal RNA", at positions 22 to 405 of the family's 1533-position model. Lineage: Bacteria; Pseudomonadati; Bacteroidota; Bacteroidia; Bacteroidales. The record is from RNAcentral.
GCUCAGGAUGAACGCUAGCUACAGGCUUAACACAUGCAAGUCGAGGGGUAGCAGGGUAGCAAUACCGCUGACGACCGGCGCACGGGUGAGUAACACGUAUCCAACCUUCCCAUAACUCGGGGAUAGCCUUUCGAAAGAAAGAUUAAUACCCGAUAGUACUUUUUUAGGGCAUCUUAGAAAAGUUAAAGAUUUAUUGGUUAUGGAUGGGGAUGCGUUCCAUUAGAUAGUUGGUGAGGUAACGGCUCACCAAGUCUUCGAUGGAUAGGGGUUCUGAGAGGAAGGUCCCCCACAUUGGUACUGAGACACGGACCAAACUCCUACGGGAGGCAGCAGUGAGGAAUAUUGGUCAAUGGGCGAGAGCCUGAACCAGCCAAGUAGCGUGAA